CCUACGGGUGGCUGCAGUGGGGAAUAUUGGGCAAUGGGCGCAAGCCUGACCCAGCAAUGCCGCGUGAAGGAAGACGGCUUUCUGGUUGUAAACUUCUUUGACAGUGGAAGUUCAGAAUACGGUACCCUGAAACCAAUCCACGGCUAACUACGUGCCAGCAGCCGCGGUAAUACGUAGGUGGCAAGCGUUGUCCGGAUUUACUGGGUGUAAAGGGCGUGUAGCCGGGAAGGCAAGUCAGGUGUGAAAUCUGGAGGCUCAACCGCCAAAUUGAAGUUGAAACUGGUUUUCUUGAGUACUGGAGAGGCAGACGGAAGUCCUUGUGUAGCGGUGAAAUGCGUAGAUAUAAGGAGGAACACCAGUGGCGAAGGCGGUCUGCUGGACAGCAACUGACGGUGAGGCGCGAAAGCGUGGGGAGCAAACAGGAUUAGAUACCCGAGUAGUC
This 442-nucleotide ribosomal RNA is filed under the name uncultured bacterium. Its description in RNAcentral is "partial 16S ribosomal RNA". It matches the Rfam family "Bacterial small subunit ribosomal RNA", at positions 338 to 795 of the family's 1533-position model. The record is from RNAcentral.